CUUGGAAGCUCUUGGACCAGAGGGUGCUUGUCCUGCCAUGGCAUUCCGGAGGACUGAGGGCAUGUCCAUGAUCCAGGCACUGGCCAUGACGGUGGCCGAGAUCCCUGUGUUCCUGUA
Canis lupus familiaris (dog) is the source of this 117-nucleotide non-coding RNA. Lineage: Eukaryota; Metazoa; Chordata; Mammalia; Carnivora; Canidae. The record is from RefSeq and is marked provisional.